CGGAUUCGGAACUGUCUUCCACCAGGGGCACUCACAUCACCGUGAUAGGGACAAGGCGGGACAAGGCGGCAGCAAGUACCGGCCUCUCUUUGCCAAUACCCGAACCUUCUCCGCGCCACG
Molecule: ribosomal RNA, 120 nt
Filed under: Palpitomonas bilix
Lineage: Eukaryota
Description: partial Trypanosomatid mitochondrial large subunit ribosomal RNA
Source: RNAcentral